Quercus lobata is the source of this 1648-nucleotide RNA transcript. It is a transcript of the gene named ribonucleotide reductase 2A, with no coding region annotated. The record is from RefSeq and is a predicted model, not a curated record. NCBI's taxonomy places the organism in Eukaryota, Viridiplantae, Streptophyta, Magnoliopsida, Fagales, Fagaceae. The transcript is spliced from 9 exons.
AACUCCAACCCACCAUGCACGAAACCAAACAAACAUUAAAAAAAAAAAAACACCAAUAAUUCACGGACUCUGUUUGUGGUUUCGCUUUCACGGUUUCACCAUCACUAAUUUCAACCCCUACUGUCGGUUUCUCCUCUUUCUUUGGGGGGUUUGUGCAGGGUUUAUCAUCUCAAACCCCAAUAUAUCAUUAGCUUCAAAUACACACACACAUACGCACAAAAAUGGGGUCUUUGGAAAAUGGGGUUGAGCAACUAACACUACAUGACAGAGAAGAAGAGCCAAUAUUGAAAGAGCAAAACCAGAGGUUUUGCAUGUUUCCCAUAAGGUACAAGCAGCUUUGGGAGAUGUACAAGAAGGCUCAAGCCAGUUUCUGGACCGCUGAGGAGGUUGAUCUUUCCCAGGAUAUGAGGCAGUGGGAAACUCUGUCUGACUCUGAGAAACACUUCAUUAGCCAUGUGCUGGCAUUUUUUGCCGCAUCUGAUGGGAUUGUAUUGGAGAAUUUAGCUGCUAGAUUUCUAAAUGAUGUUCAAGUACCAGAGGCUCGGGCAUUCUAUGGAUUUCAAAUUGCAAUGGAGAAUGUUCACUCUGAAAUGUACAGCUUGCUUCUAGAGACAUAUAUCAAGGAUUCAAAAGAGAAGCAUAGAUUGUUCAAUGCAAUUGAAAACAUUCCUUGUGUGGCUAGGAAGGCUAAGUGGGCUUUAGAUUGGAUUUAUAGCUCCACCUUGUUUGCAGAGAGAAUUGUUGCUUUUGCAUGUGUUGAAGGAAUCUUUUUCUCAGGAAGCUUCUGUUCCAUAUUCUGGCUUAAAAAGAGGGGAAUGAUGCCAGGCUUGACAUUCUCAAAUGAGCUUAUUUCUAGAGAUGAAGGCCUCCAUUGUGACUUUGCUUGCCUUCUUUACAGUUUGUUAAGGAAUCAAUUACAUUGGGAAAAGGUUCAUCACAUUGUACAUGAAGCUGUUGAAAUUGAGACGCAAUUUGUGUGCGAGGCCCUUCCAUGUGCAUUGAUUGGCAUGAAUUCAAUACUCAUGAGCCAGUAUAUAAAGUUUGUAGCUGACCGACUUUUGGUUUCAUUAGGGUGCCAGAGGAAAUACAAUGUGGAAAAUCCUUUUGAUUGGAUGGAAUUUAUUUCUCUGCAGUGAGUAUUGAUGAAAGCAUGCUUAGGUUCUGAUUUUAGUCUUUAAAUUAACUCAAGCAAAGGUUAAAAGUACUGCUGAUCUCAUUAGGAUUUCCUUUCAUUUUCAAGUAGGUUGUAACCCCUUGAGGGUGCCUCUUAGAAGGCUUUAACAGCCAGAUAUUUUUCUUUGAAAACCAAUUGAUUUAUGGGUUUCCACCAUCCCCUGCAUUAUGAUAAAAUAUUAGGUCUAUCAUAUUUUCGUAAGUAUAAUCAUAUCACUAUUAGCACCUGCAGGGACCAAUCAAAUAUUGGUCCCUGACGUAAAUUAUCAAACCAUGUUUACAAGAAUUGAGGUGUGAACAGCCAGACUUGAUGGAAGUAUGGGAUAAGGCUUAAGAGCCACAUAGGAAGUCAGACUUAUUUGAGUUGGUGAUAUGUUUGGCCAAAAUAAACAGAGGAAAGGCAAACUUUUUUGAAAGAAGGGUGGGCGAAUAUCAAAAGGCAUCUGUAAUGUCAAGCCUUCAAGAUGGUGGAAAA